GGCGCUAUAGCCAAGUGGUCUACGGCGACAGAUUCGAAUGUUCUCGCUAUCUGUUCCUCUUUGAGGGCGCAGGUUCGAAUCCUGCUGGCGUCG
This is a transfer RNA of 93 nucleotides. It matches the Rfam family "tRNA". From Rfam's summary of the family: Transfer RNA (tRNA) molecules are approximately 80 nucleotides in length.